This 513-nucleotide ribosomal RNA is filed under the name Globigerinoides ruber. RNAcentral describes it as "bacterial SSU rRNA". It matches the Rfam family "Eukaryotic small subunit ribosomal RNA", at positions 1182 to 1488 of the family's 1831-position model. The record is from RNAcentral. Lineage: Eukaryota; Foraminifera; Rotaliida; Globigerinidae.
CAUGUGGCUUAAUUUGACUCAACGCGGGAAAUCUUACCGGGUCCGGACAUAUCGAGGAUUGACAGACAGUUACCAUGCCCUUUCGAAAGGAGUCAGGUUUUAAACCUAAUGGCUCUUUCAUGAUUAUAUGAUAGGUGGUGCAUGGCCGUUCUUAGUUCGUGGAGUGAUCUGUCUGCUUAAUUGCGUUUCAAAUUUUUAUUUGAGGACCAGGUUUUGGUUUGGGUAGUGGUCCUACGAUGACGUGAACUGUCAUGUCUUCGGAUGUGCGACUAUCGGUCUAGGAUCGCAUCUCAGCCCCUGGGACUCUUUUGAACGCAACGGACGUGAUUGCAACCCCUUGUUGAGAUUAGAGGAGUCUCGAUAUUCAUUGGCCAAACUUACCGCUUCGAGCUUGCUCGUGCAGUUUUGUUAGCCGGUGGAUAAACUCGGGGGACUGCUGACUAUAACCAUUUCUCAAAACAGAGGAAGGUUGCGGCAAUAACAGGUCUGUGAUGCCCUUAGAUGUCCCGGGCU